RNAcentral lists this small RNA (105 nucleotides) under Chryseobacterium piscicola. RNAcentral's name for it is "Flavo-1 RNA". It matches the Rfam family "Flavo-1 RNA". Lineage: Bacteria; Pseudomonadati; Bacteroidota; Flavobacteriia; Flavobacteriales; Weeksellaceae. The record is from RNAcentral.
CCCUAGCCCCGAUUGAAGCGGCAUCCUUUUUUGCUUUUGAUGAAAUUUUCUUUUGUUGAUAAAUUUUCUGAAGCAAAAAAGAUACAGCGGAAAGCGGGAAUUAGC